Molecule: transfer RNA, 74 nt
Filed under: Stegodyphus dumicola
Lineage: Eukaryota; Metazoa; Arthropoda; Arachnida; Araneae; Eresidae
Description: tRNA-Ile
Rfam family: tRNA
About the family: Transfer RNA (tRNA) molecules are approximately 80 nucleotides in length. Their secondary structure includes four short double-helical elements and three loops (D, anti-codon, and T loops).
Source: RNAcentral
GCCUUUGUGGUGUAGUGGUUUUGCACACUGGGCUGAUAUUCCAGAGGUCCGUAGUUCGAUUCCCAGCGAAGGCG